This 1494-nucleotide ribosomal RNA is filed under the name metagenome. RNAcentral describes it as "bacterial SSU rRNA". It matches the Rfam family "Bacterial small subunit ribosomal RNA". The record is from RNAcentral.
AGAGUUUGAUCCUGGCUCAGAACGAACGUUGGCGAGAUGUUUUAAGCAUGCAAGUCGAGCGGUAGAUGGUGCUUGCACCAUUGAGAGCGGCGAACGGGUGAGUAACACGUAGGUUAUCUGCCCUGUAGACUGGGAUAGCCACUGGAAACAGUGAUUAAUACCGGAUAUUGUCGAAAGAUGAAAGGUGCGUUUGCACCACUACAGGAUGAGCCUGCAUUCUAUUAGUUUGUUGGUGGGGUAAUGGCCUACCAAGACUAUGAUAGAUAGCCGGCCUGAGAGGGUGUACGGCCACAUUGGGACUGAGAUACGGCCCAGACUCCUACGGGAGGCAGCAGCUAAGAAUAUUCCGCAAUGGGCGAAAGCCUGACGGAGCAAUCUCGCGUGAAUGAUUGAAGGCCUUCGGGUUGUAAAGUUCUUUCAGCAGGGAAGAAUCAUCAUCUGGGAAAUACAGGUGAGAUGACUGUACCUGCAGAAGAAGCACCGGCUAAUUACGUGCCAGCAGCCGCGGUAAUACGUAGGGUGCUAACGUUGUUCGGAAUCACUGGGCAUAAAGAGUACGUAGGCUGUCAAUUAAGUUAGUGGUGAAAUCCUGAGGCUCAACCUCAGGCCUGCCAAUAAUACUGAUUGACUAGAGUUAUUGAUAGAGGUAGUAGGAAUUUCUAGUGUAGGAGUGAAAUCUGUAGAUAUUAGAAAGAACACCAAUGGCGAAGGCAAACUGCUGGGUAAUAACUGACACUGAGGUACGAAAGCUAGGGUAGCGAAUGGGAUUAGAGACCCCAGUAGUCCUAGCCGUAAACGUUGCAUACUUGUUUUAUGGAUUCUUGUAAUUUAUGAAACGUAGCUAAUGCGCUAAGUAUGCCGCCUGGGGAGUAUGCACGCAAGUGUGAAACUCAAAGGAAUUGACGGGGGCUCGCACAAGCGGUGGAGCAUGUGGUUUAAUUCGAUGAUACGCGAAAAACCUUACCUAGGCUUGAACGUGUAGUGACCGUCGGUGAAAGCCGAUUUUCUCUUCGGAGACACUAUGCGAGGUGCUGCAUGGCUGUCGUCAGCUCGUGUUGUGAAAUGUUGGGUUAAGUCCCGCAACGAGCGCAACCCUUAUCCUAUGUUGCUAAACAAGAUUCGUCUUGAAGGACUCAUAGGAGACUGCCCUGGUUAACGGGGAGGAAGGUGGGGAUGACGUCAAGUCCUCAUGGCCCUUAUGUCUAGGGCUACACACGUGCCACAAUGGGGAGUACAAAGGGAAGCAAGAUUGCGAAAUCAAGCAAAUCCCAAAAAAACUCUUCCUAGUUCGGAUUGCAGUCUGAAACUCGACUGCAUGAAGCUGGAAUCGCUAGUAAUCACAGAUCAGCAUGCUGUGGUGAAUACGUUCUCGAGCCUUGUACACACCGCCCGUCACACCACCCGAGUUGGAAAUACCCGUAGUCGUUGUACUAACCGUAAGGAAGAAGGCGCCGAAGGUGUUCCCGGUGAGGAGGGUGAAGUCGUAACAAGGCG